CAGGGAGACAACACAAUGAUUUUGAUGCCUGAGUGCUUUUAUUCUUAGGCCGAAGUCCUGUCACCUUAGGUCGAUCGGUACCUCAGCUUUGAAGUCAAGGGUCAGCAGCAAUGUUGAUUGCUUGAUGGAGAUUUUCAGUUCCUAAACUUUGUCUAGGUCACACCCCAAAAGGGAUGAGACUCCUGGGCCAUUAGCUCAGGUGGUUAGAGCGCACCCCUGAUAAGGGUGAGGUCCCUGGUUCAAGUCCAGGAUGGCCCAUUCGGUGUUGGGGGUUUAGCUCAGUUGGUAGAGCGCCUGCUUUGCAAGCAGGAUGUCAGGAGUUCGAGUCUCCUAACCUCCACUGACCGAACUUGAUUCCCAUCUCCAAUUUUUUUGGAGUUGAGCUCGAUUGGAGCGUGAUUUAGAUGUGUCCGCUGGAUGACCCCAGCUUCCUGUCAUUCCAAGUUUUAGAUUUUAAGUCUUGAAUUUGGUUGAUAAGAUGCUGGGCUCGGAUCAAAUGAUCAAGCAAUUGAUGAUUUGAUUUGAAGUUCUAGCAGAACCUUGACAACUGCAUAGGUGAGUCUGGAAAAAACAAAGCAUCUUACAGAUGCAUUGUUUUGAAUCUGAUCUUCUGAAAGGGAGAUUGGAUCUAGAACAAUGAAAAUUCUUUUGAGCAAGAGCCGAAACUCUUGAGCGUUCUUUGGUUGGUGUCGAGCCAAUCAGAGUUUGAUCUUGUUUUUAGCAAUAAAAACUUGAGAAUCUGCUUUCAACGGCGGUAAGCGUUCAGGAGGUUAAUU
Molecule: transfer RNA, 776 nt
Filed under: uncultured cyanobacterium
Lineage: Bacteria; Bacillati; Cyanobacteriota
Description: partial contains 16S ribosomal RNA, 16S-23S ribosomal RNA intergenic spacer, and 23S ribosomal RNA
Rfam family: tRNA (bases 268-340)
Source: RNAcentral